RNAcentral lists this transfer RNA (67 nucleotides) under Marmota marmota marmota (Alpine marmot). It matches the Rfam family "tRNA". From Rfam's summary of the family: Transfer RNA (tRNA) molecules are approximately 80 nucleotides in length. Their secondary structure includes four short double-helical elements and three loops (D, anti-codon, and T loops). The record is from Rfam by way of RNAcentral. Lineage: Eukaryota; Metazoa; Chordata; Mammalia; Rodentia; Sciuridae. RNAcentral also lists the same sequence under 1 other name.
GGUCGUGGCUCAGUGGUAGAGUGCUUGCCUAGCAUGUAUGAGGCACUGGGUUCGAUUCUCAGCACCA